GCAUAUCAAUAAGCGGAGGAAAAGAAACCAACAGGGAUUGCCCCAGUAACGGCGAGUGAAGCGGCAACAGCUCAAAUUUGAAAUCUGGCCUCGGCCCGAGUUGUAAUUUGCAGAGGAUGCUUCUGGCGCGGCGCCUUCCGAGUUCCCUGGAACGGGACGCCACAGAGGGUGAGAGCCCCGUAUGGUCGGACGCCAAGCCAGUGUGAAGCUCCUUCGAAGAGUCGAGUAGUUUGGGAAUGCUGCUCUAAGCGGGAGGUAUACGUCUUCUAAAGCUAAAUACCGGCCAGAGACCGAUAGCGCACAAGUAGAGUGAUCGAAAGAUGAAAAGCACCUUGAAAAGGGGGUUAAACAGUACGUGAAAUUGUUGAAAGGGAAGCGCCUGUGACCAGACUUGCGCCGGGCGGAUCAUCCAGCGUUCUCGCUGGUGCGCUCCGCCCGGCUCAGGCCAGCAUCGGUUCUGGCGGGGGGAUAAAGGCGGCGGGAACGUGGCUCCCCCGGGAGUGUUAUAGCCCGCCGUGCAAUGCCCCCGCUGGGACCGAGGUUCGCGCAUCUGCAAGGAUGCUGGCGUAAUGGUCACCAGCGACCCGUCUUGAAACACGGACC
This 603-nucleotide ribosomal RNA is filed under the name Pleurostoma richardsiae. Its description in RNAcentral is "eukaryotic LSU rRNA". It matches the Rfam family "Eukaryotic large subunit ribosomal RNA", at positions 38 to 667 of the family's 3401-position model. Lineage: Eukaryota; Fungi; Ascomycota; Sordariomycetes; Calosphaeriales; Pleurostomataceae. The record is from RNAcentral.